This 245-nucleotide ribosomal RNA is filed under the name uncultured bacterium. Its description in RNAcentral is "partial small subunit ribosomal RNA". It matches the Rfam family "Bacterial small subunit ribosomal RNA", at positions 26 to 285 of the family's 1533-position model. The record is from RNAcentral.
AGAAUCAACGCUGGCGGCGUGCCUAACACAUGCAAGUCGAACGAGAAAGUGGAGCAAUCCAUUAGUAAAGUGGCGCACGGGUGAGUAACACGUGACUAACCUACCCUUGAGUGGGGGAUAACCUAGAGAAAUCUGGGCUAAGACCGCAUAAUACCUUCGGGUCAAAGGAGCAAUUCGCUUAAGGAGGGGGUCGCGGCCGAUUAGUUAGUUGGCGGGGUAAUGGCCCACCAAGACUAUGAUCGGUA